AGAGCGAACGCUGGCGGCAGGCUUAACACAUGCAAGUCGAGCGGGCGUAGCAAUACGUCAGCGGCAGACGGGUGAGUAACGCGUGGGAACGUACCUUUUGGUUCGGAACAACCCAGGGAAACUUGGGCUAAUACCGGAUAAGCCCUUACGGGGAAAGAUUUAUCGCCGAAAGAUCGGCCCGCGUCUGAUUAGCUAGUUGGUGAGGUAAUGGCUCACCAAGGCGACGAUCAGUAGCUGGUCUGAGAGGAUGAUCAGCCACAUUGGGACUGAGACACGGCCCAAACUCAUACGGGAGGCAGCAGUGGGGAAUAUUGGACAAUGGGCGCAAGCCUGAUCCAGCCAUGCCGCGUGAGUGAUGAAGGCCCUAGGGUUGUAAAGCUCUUUUGUGCGGGAAGAUAAUGACGGUACCGCAAGAAUAAGCCCCGGCUAACUUCGCGCCAGCAGCCGC
This 448-nucleotide ribosomal RNA is filed under the name uncultured bacterium. Its description in RNAcentral is "SSU rRNA". It matches the Rfam family "Bacterial small subunit ribosomal RNA", at positions 26 to 518 of the family's 1533-position model. The record is from RNAcentral.